Molecule: non-coding RNA, 363 nt
Organism: Stegostoma tigrinum
Lineage: Eukaryota; Metazoa; Chordata; Chondrichthyes; Orectolobiformes; Stegostomatidae
Product: small Cajal body-specific RNA 2
Exons: 1
Source: RefSeq, a predicted model, not a curated record
CUCAUUGGGAGUGGUGGCGGAGUUGAGUGUUGUGUUUAGGUGUGGUUGAAAGAAAGCGACAAUGAGUGUGCGUUUUGGAGAGAGAGAGAGUGUGUGUGUGAGUGAGUGAGUGUGCGUCCGUCCGUGUGUUACGGUGAGGUGGCUGAACCGCCCUGUUUCCCUCCUACACUCUUGAUCUUAUUUGAUCGGCCGGGAGGCCCGGGCCCCGGCCCGAGGUGAUGAGAAAAAACCGCUCGCGAGCUGCUGGCAAUGGGCGGAGGCGGCGGGAAAGGCCCCGGGCGGAGCGGAAUUGAUGAACAGAUCAGAUAGAUGAGGCUGCGGCUCAAAGCCCGGCCACUGAGUAUCGAGGCGAUUCUGAUCCGC